CAUGCAAGUCGAACGAUGAACCUCCUUCGGGAGGGGAAGAGUGGCGAACGGGUGAGUAACACGUGGGCAAUCUGCCCUGCACUCUGGGAUAACUCCGGGAAACCGGAGCUAAUACCGGAUACGAUCCUCCAGGGCAUCCUGGGGGGUGGAAAGCUCCGGCGGUGCAGGAUGAGCCCGCGGCCUAUCAGCUGGUUGGUGGGGUGAUGGCCCACCAAGGCGACGACGGGUAGCCGGCCUGAGAGGGCGACCGGCCACACUGGGACUGAGACACGGCCCAGACUCCUACGGGAGGCAGCAGUGGGGAAUAUUGCACAAUGGGCGCAAGCCUGAUGCAGCGACGCCGCGUGAGGGAUGACGGCCUUCGGGUUGUAAACCUCUUUCAGCAGGGAAGAAGCGUGAGUGACGGUACCUGCAGAAGAAGCACCGGCUAACUACGUGCCAGCAG
RNAcentral lists this ribosomal RNA (445 nucleotides) under Actinomycetales bacterium 124. Its description in RNAcentral is "bacterial SSU rRNA". It matches the Rfam family "Bacterial small subunit ribosomal RNA", at positions 54 to 514 of the family's 1533-position model. The record is from RNAcentral. Lineage: Bacteria; Bacillati; Actinomycetota; Actinomycetes; Actinomycetales.